Gossypium raimondii (Peruvian cotton) is the source of this 136-nucleotide non-coding RNA. The record is from Rfam. Lineage: Eukaryota; Viridiplantae; Streptophyta; Magnoliopsida; Malvales; Malvaceae.
UACUGAAAAUUUUAUCUAUUUUUAUAGUUAAGAAUUGACGAGAUUUACAGAGUAACCAAAAUGGCGUGUCACGUGUACCUCAUUCUGGCUUACAAGGAUAAACUUUUAACCAUAGAAAUUGAUGAAAAUUUUAAUA